CCAAACUUGGUCAUUUAGAGGAAGUAAAAGUCGUAACAAGGUUUCCGUAGGUGAACCUGCGGAAGGAUCAUUAUUGAAAAAUAUUGGUUUGUAUUGUUGCUGGCUUGUAAAGCAUGUGCACAUACUCUCCAUUUUUUUUCUUUAAACCCAACUCAUAAGAUAAAUAAAUACUUUAUGUAUACGUUACGAUACGUAAAUAAAGAUCACUUUCAACAACGGAUCUCUUGGCUCUCGCAUCGAUGAAGAACGCAGC
This 253-nucleotide unclassified non-coding RNA is filed under the name uncultured fungus. Its description in RNAcentral is "partial contains small subunit ribosomal RNA, internal transcribed spacer 1, and 5.8S ribosomal RNA". The stretch from base 1 to 73 matches the Rfam family "Eukaryotic small subunit ribosomal RNA", at positions 1759 to 1831 of the family's 1831-position model. Lineage: Eukaryota; Fungi. The record is from RNAcentral.